Molecule: ribosomal RNA, 500 nt
Filed under: uncultured bacterium
Lineage: Bacteria
Description: partial 16S ribosomal RNA
Rfam family: Bacterial small subunit ribosomal RNA
Source: RNAcentral
GACGAACGCUGGCGGCGUGCUUAACACAUGCAAGUCGAACGGGUCUGCCCUGUUUUUUGCGGGGUGGGUCAGUGGCGAACGGGUGAGUAACACGUGAGUAACCUGCCCCUCACUUCUGGAUAACCGCUUGAAAGGGUGGCUAAUACGGGGUGUUCUGGCUGUGCCGCAUGGUGUGGCUGGGAAAGAUUCACUUUUGUGGUGUUUUGGUGGGGGAUGGGCUCGCGGCCUAUCAGCUUGUUGGUGGGGUGAUGGCCUGCCAAGGCUUUGACGGGUAGCCGGCCUGAGAGGGUGGGCGGUCACACUGGGACUGAGAUACGGCCCAGACUCCUGCGGGAGGCAGCAGUGGGGGGUAUUGCACAAUGGGCGGAAGCCUGAUGCAGCGACGUCGCGUGAGGGAUGGAGGCCUUCGGGUUGUGAACCUCUUUCGCCGGUGAAGAAGGUCCUGCUCUUUGUGGUGGGGUUGACGGUAGCCGGGUUAUGAAGCGCCGACUAACUACGUG